GUCCACGCCUAACGAUGACGACUGGAUGUCGGAAGGUCUGCCUUUCGGUGUCGUAGCUAACGCGUUAAGUCGUCCGCCUGGGGAGUACGGCCGCAAGGUUGAACUCAAAGGAAUUGACGGGACCCGCACAAGCGGUGGAGCAUGUGGUUCAAUUCGAUGCAACGCGAAGAACCUUACCUGGCCUUGACAUCCGCGGAACUUGGCAGAAAUGCCUUGGUGCCUUCGGGAAUCGCGAGACAGGUGCUGCAUGGCUGUCGU
This 258-nucleotide ribosomal RNA is filed under the name uncultured bacterium. Its description in RNAcentral is "partial 16S ribosomal RNA". It matches the Rfam family "Bacterial small subunit ribosomal RNA", at positions 793 to 1055 of the family's 1533-position model. The record is from RNAcentral.